UGAUCCACCUUCUCCAAGGUGGAUCCAAGAGCUCUUGAUUAGCGAUGAGCUGAUCUCGGGGCCUGUCAGAUUGACACUCGCCGCAGCCUUUCUACUUCCUUCAAUUGGAUGGUGUCUAAACUCCUUCAAGCAUGCUCAAGAUCUAUCCAACUCCUCUGGGCAUGAAGGAUAAAAUCAGCCUAACACUUUAGGCAUGAGUAAGUGAGAGGGAAGUG
RNAcentral lists this long non-coding RNA (215 nucleotides) under Elaeis guineensis (African oil palm). RNAcentral's name for it is "long non-coding RNA (EGUI_LNC057195)". Lineage: Eukaryota; Viridiplantae; Streptophyta; Magnoliopsida; Arecales; Arecaceae. The record is from RNAcentral.